RNAcentral lists this ribosomal RNA (484 nucleotides) under uncultured bacterium. Its description in RNAcentral is "partial 16S ribosomal RNA". It matches the Rfam family "Bacterial small subunit ribosomal RNA", at positions 30 to 507 of the family's 1533-position model. The record is from RNAcentral.
AUUGAACGCUGGCGGCAGGCCUAACACAUGCAAGUCGAGCGGAUUAAGGGAGCUUGCUCCUGGAUUCAGCAACGGACGGGUGAGUAAUUCCUAACAAACUGCCUGGUCGUGGGGGAUAACGUCCGGAAACGGGCGCUAAUACCUCAUACGUCCUGUGGGAGAAACUGGGGGAUCUUCGGACCUCACGCUACCAGAUGAGCCUAGGUCGGAUUAGCUAGUUGGUGGGGUAAAGGCCUACCAAGGCGACGGUCCGUAACUGGUCUGAGAGGAUGAUCAGUCACAGUGGAACUGAGACACGGUCCAGACUCCUACGGGAGGGAGCAGCGGGGAAUAUUGGAGAAGGGGCGAAGGCCUGAUCACGCCAUGCCGCGUGUGUGAAGAAGGUCUUCGGAUUGUAAAACAAUUUAAGUUGGGAGGAAGGGCAGUAAGUUAAUAACUUGCUGUUUUGACAUUACCAAAAGAAUAAGCCCCGGCUAACUUCGUG